CCUACGGGUGGCAGCAGUGGGGAAUAUUGCAAAAUGGGCGCAAGCCUGAUGCAGCCAUGCCGCGUGUGUGAAGAAGGCCUUCGGGUUGUAAAGCACUUUCAGCGGGGAAGAAGGCGGUGAGGUUAAUAACCUCAUCGAUUGACGUUACCCGCAGAAGAAGCACCGGCUAACUCCGUGCCAGCAGCCGCGGUAAUACGGAGGGUGCAAGCGUUAAUCGGAAUUACUGGGCGUAAAGCGCACGCAGGCGGUCUGUCAAGUCGGAUGUGAAAUCCCCGGGCUCAACCUGGGAACUGCAUUCGAAACUGGCAGGCUAGAGUCUUGUAGAGGGGGGUAGAAUUCCAGGUGUAGCGGUGAAAUGCGUAGAGAUCUGGAGGAAUACCGGUGGCGAAGGCGGCCCCCUGGACAAAGACUGACGCUCAGGUGCGAAAGCGUGGGGAGCAAACAGGAUUAGAUACCCUUGUAGUC
Molecule: ribosomal RNA, 465 nt
Filed under: uncultured Klebsiella sp.
Lineage: Bacteria; Pseudomonadati; Pseudomonadota; Gammaproteobacteria; Enterobacterales; Enterobacteriaceae
Description: bacterial SSU rRNA
Rfam family: Bacterial small subunit ribosomal RNA
Source: RNAcentral